RNAcentral lists this ribosomal RNA (119 nucleotides) under Hucho hucho (huchen). Lineage: Eukaryota; Metazoa; Chordata; Actinopteri; Salmoniformes; Salmonidae. The record is from RNAcentral.
GCUUAUGGCCAUACCAGCCUGAAUGCUCCUGAUCUCGUCAGAUCUCGGAAGCUAUGCAGGGUCGGGCCUGGUUACUACUUGGAUGGGAGACUUCCUGGGAAUACCAGGUGCUGUAAGCC